AUGAAUAUUGCCCUUCUAUCCCGGUGGCUGUGGCGCAUCGCGCAGGGUCAUGGUGGCCUCUGGCUGGACAUUAUCCGGAAUAAGUACCUGCGAGGUCAACCCCUUGCCUUCUGCCAGAAAUUGGGCGGGUCCCAGUUCUGGCAGUCCCUCGUCCAGCUUCUCCCGGUGCUCCACAUUGGUACCUAUAUCUCGGUGGGGUCCGGCCUCUCGACGCUAUUCUGGUUUGAUCGCUGGGCCGCGACUCUCCCUUUGCGGCCCGCUUCCCCGCCCUCUUCUCUAUCUCCGUCGACCCUAUGA
This 297-nucleotide ribosomal RNA is filed under the name Triticum aestivum (bread wheat). RNAcentral describes it as "partial small subunit ribosomal RNA". Lineage: Eukaryota; Viridiplantae; Streptophyta; Magnoliopsida; Poales; Poaceae. The record is from RNAcentral.